GGAUGAAGAACGCAGCGAAAUGCGAUAAGUAAUGUGAAUUGCAGAAUUCAGUGAAUCAUCGAAUCUUUGAACGCACAUUGCGCCCGCCAGUAUUCUGGCGGGCAUGCCUGUCUGAGCGUCAUUUCAACCCUCAUGCCCCUAGGGCGUGGUGUUGGGGAUCGGCCAAAGCCCGCGAGGGACGGCCGGCCCCUAAAUCUAGUGGCGGACCCGUCGUGGCCUCCUCUGCGAAGUAGUGAUAUUCCGCAUCGGAGAGCGACGAGCCCCUGCCGUUAAACCCCCAACUUUCCAAGGUUGACCUCAGAUCAGGUAGGAAUACCCGCUGAACUUAAGCAUAUCAAUAAGCGGAGGA
This 349-nucleotide unclassified non-coding RNA is filed under the name soil metagenome. RNAcentral describes it as "partial contains 5.8S ribosomal RNA, internal transcribed spacer 2, and large subunit ribosomal RNA". The stretch from base 2 to 121 matches the Rfam family "5.8S ribosomal RNA", at positions 35 to 154 of the family's 154-position model. The record is from RNAcentral.